AUACGUAGGUGACAAGCGUUAUCCGGAUUUACUGGGCGUAAAGGGCGUGUAGGCGGUCUUGCAAGUCAGAAGUGAAAUUCCUGAGCUCAACUCGGGCGCUGCUUCUGAAACUGCAGGACUUGAGUGCUGGAGGGGAUAGCGGAAUUCCUAGUGGAGCGGUAAAAUGCGCAGAUAUUAGGAAGAACACCGGUGGCGAAGGCGGCUAGCUGGACAAUAACGGACGAUAAGGCGCGAAAGCGUGAAGAGCAAACAAGAUGAGAUAACCUGGUACUCCACGACGUAAUCGAUGAAUACUAGAAGUAGGGUGUAUCGACUCCCUCUGUGCCGCAGUUAACACAAUAAGUAUUCCGCCUGGGGAGUACGGCCGCAAGGUUGAAACUCAAAGGAAUUGACGGGG
RNAcentral lists this ribosomal RNA (397 nucleotides) under uncultured bacterium. RNAcentral's name for it is "partial 16S ribosomal RNA". It matches the Rfam family "Bacterial small subunit ribosomal RNA", at positions 523 to 918 of the family's 1533-position model. The record is from RNAcentral.